This 879-nucleotide ribosomal RNA is filed under the name uncultured bacterium. RNAcentral describes it as "bacterial SSU rRNA". It matches the Rfam family "Bacterial small subunit ribosomal RNA", at positions 38 to 907 of the family's 1533-position model. The record is from RNAcentral.
AGCUACAGGCUUAACACAUGCAAGUCGAGGGGAAACGACAUCGAAAGCUUGCUUUUGAUGGGCGUCGACCGGCGCACGGGUGAGUAACGCGUAUCCAACCUGCCCAUCACUUGGGGAUAACCUUGCGAAAGUAAGACUAAUACCCAAUGACGUCUCUAGAAGACAUCUGAAAGAGAUUAAAGAUUUAUCGGUGAUGGAUGGGGAUGCGUCUGAUUAGCUUGUUGGCGGGGUAACGGCCCACCAAGGCGACGAUCAGUAGGGGUUCUGAGAGGAAGGUCCCCCACAUUGGAACUGAGACACGGUCCAAACUCCUACGGGAGGCAGCAGUGAGGAAUAUUGGUCAAUGGGCGAGAGCCUGAACCAGCCAAGUAGCGCGCAGGAUGACGGCCCUAUGGGUUGUAAACUGCUUUUAUAAGGGAAUAAAGUGAGUCUCGUGAGACUUUUUGCAUGUACCUUAUGAAUAAGGACCGGCUAAUUCCGUGCCAGCAGCCGCGGUAAUACGGAAGGUCCGGGCGUUAUCCGGAUUUAUUGGGUUUAAAGGGAGCGUAGGCCGGAGAUUAAGCGUGUUGUGAAAUGUAGAUGCUCAACAUCUGAACUGCAGCGCGAACUGGUUUCCUUGAGUACGCACAAAGUGGGCGGAAUUCGUGGUGUAGCGGUGAAAUGCUUAGAUAUCACGAAGAACUCCGAUUGCGAAGGCAGCUCACUGGAGCGCAACUGACGCUGAAGCUCGAAAGUGCGGGUAUCGAACAGGAUUAGAUACCCUGGUAGUCCGCACGGUAAACGAUGGAUGCCCGCUGUUGGUCUGAAUAGGUCAGCGGCCAAGCGAAGGCAUUAAGCAUCCCACCUGGGGAGUACGCCGGCAACGGUGAAACUCAAAGG